ACAAGCCGAUUGAUGGCACCGGGCCAGUUCUACUACCCGUCUAGGUGAAGUAAGGGGCGAAGUGGUGUCUUGGGCAAAAGGAACAUGGUUCAACGCUCCCAGUGCCCUGAACCACCAGACUCCCGUCCUCCACCGACACAGGGGCG
Haliotis rubra (blacklip abalone) is the source of this 146-nucleotide long non-coding RNA. RefSeq lists it as uncharacterized. The transcript is spliced from 3 exons. NCBI's taxonomy places the organism in Eukaryota, Metazoa, Mollusca, Gastropoda, Lepetellida, Haliotidae. The record is from RefSeq and is a predicted model, not a curated record.